This 462-nucleotide ribosomal RNA is filed under the name uncultured bacterium. Its description in RNAcentral is "partial 16S ribosomal RNA". It matches the Rfam family "Bacterial small subunit ribosomal RNA", at positions 28 to 507 of the family's 1533-position model. The record is from RNAcentral.
GAUGAACGCUGACAGAAUGCUUAACACAUGCAAGUCUUUGGCGAAGCUGUGCUCGCACAGCCUAGCAAGGCGGACGGGUGAGUAACGCGUAAGGAACUUGCCCUGCAGUCAGGGAUAACAGACGGAAACGACUGAUAAGACCUGGUAAAGUCAGGCGGACUCAUGUCCAGCCUGAUGAAAAGAGAUGCUGCAGGAGAGCCUUGCGUCCUAUUAGCUUGUUGGUGGGGUAACGGCCCACCAAGGCGAUGAUAGGUAGCCGGCCUGAGAGGGUGGACGGCCACAAGGGGACUGAGAUACGGCCCUUACUCCUACGGGAGGCAGCAGUGGGGAAUAUUGGACAAUGGGGGCAACCCUGAUCCAGCAAUUCUGCGUGCACGAUGAAGGUUUUCGGAGUGUAAAGUGCUUUCAGCAGGGAAGAAAAAAAUGACGGUACCUGCAGAAGAAGCGACGGCUAAAUACGUG